GACGAACGCUGGCGGCGUGCUUAACACAUGCAAGUCGAACGGAAAGGCCCUGCUUUUGUGUGGUGCUCGAGUGGCGAACGGGUGUGUAACACGUGAGUAACCUUCCCUUUACUUUGGGAUAACUUCAGGAAACUGGGGCUACUACCUGAUAGGAGCUCCUGCUGCAUGGUGGGGGUCGGAAAGUUUCGGCGGUGGGGGCUGGACUCGCGGCUUAUCAGCUUGUUGGUGGGGUAGUGGCUUACCAAGGCUUUGACGGGUAGCCGGCCUGAGAGGGUGACCGGCGACCUUGGGCCUGAGAUACGGACCAGACGCCUACGGGAGGCAGCAGUGGGGAAUAUUGCCCAGUGGGCGGACGCCUGAUGCAGCAACGCCGCGUGCGGGAUGACCGCCUUCGGGUUGUAAACCGCUGUCGCCUGUGACGAAGCGUGAGUGACGGUAAUGGGUAAAGAAGCACCGGCUAACUACGUG
RNAcentral lists this ribosomal RNA (468 nucleotides) under uncultured bacterium. RNAcentral's name for it is "partial 16S ribosomal RNA". It matches the Rfam family "Bacterial small subunit ribosomal RNA", at positions 28 to 507 of the family's 1533-position model. The record is from RNAcentral.